This is a non-coding RNA of Notechis scutatus (mainland tiger snake), 1001 nucleotides long. Lineage: Eukaryota; Metazoa; Chordata; Lepidosauria; Squamata; Elapidae. The record is from RefSeq and is a predicted model, not a curated record.
UUCCCUUUCAAGUUGUUCCCUGGGAAUGAAGGGACUCCUAUGACAAUAGGAUAUGAAAUUUGGGGGCCUGCGUCGGUCCUAAAUAAUAACCGGUGGAACUUGUUUUCCUUUUGCUAUGUCACUCUGGGCCAAGAUAUCUACUACCCAAGACAAGGCACUGGUACAAUACUCCAUCUAUUAAGAGUUCUUGUCAGGAUGGGGAUCCACCAGGAAUCAUAUAUCUUGUCUGUCACUGGAAGAAUUGUCCUAGUGAGGAACUUUUUCAAGUUUGGAGCUCAUAGAGAAGGUCAAAAUCAGAGGUUUUCCACUUGCUCUAAAUAGGUCAGUAAUCAAUUGUACUUAACUAAAAAUGUUCUGCGUGCUAACAAGAACAGUUUGAGUCUUCCAGUCCACAAAAAUGAUAUAAAAUCAUUGUCUCACAAUACUCCGAUACACGCAUGCCUAUAUAUUUGUCUACAUUUUCUCACAACCAUCUAAGAAACUUAGAAAUGAAGGCAAUGGAAAAUUAAUCAUAAAAAUAACAAAUAUUCUUGGAUAUGGCAGUUCCAUGAUAAUAUAGGAAUUAUUUUAAACCCCAAAACUAUUGUCAAUUAGACAAUUUGACACCAACAUUUCAUUCAAAAACUUCUAUAAGUAACUUUUUAUUAAAGUUUUUCCAAGUAACUGCAAACAUUACAUCAAACCUUCAUAUACGUAUAACGAAAUGAAUCAGUUGUAAAAAUGUUAUACUUUCCCUCUUUUCUGAAAAAACAAAUAGCUAAAGCUAAGUCAGGAUGUGGGAGGUUAUAGUAAGAAAUUGCUCCUAUGGAAAACAUAUACUUGUUAGGCUGCUUAUAUACUGCAAAAAAGUUUUUCUUUUUAAUAGUAAACGUGAUAGGGGGCUAAGAAAUACUGGAUUUGAGAUGGAGCAGCUUAGAUAUCACCCUACCAGUCAGAAGAAAAAAUUCAAAAUUGGUCCAUUUACAUCAAUUUUACAAAUUAGUGGAGACUGUCAAUGCAAA